This 440-nucleotide ribosomal RNA is filed under the name uncultured bacterium. RNAcentral's name for it is "partial 16S ribosomal RNA". It matches the Rfam family "Bacterial small subunit ribosomal RNA", at positions 338 to 795 of the family's 1533-position model. The record is from RNAcentral.
GCUACGGGAGGCAGCAGUGGGGAAUAUUGGACAAUGGGGGAAACCCUGAUCCAGCGACGCCGCGUGAGUGAAGAAGUAUUUCGGUACGUAAAGCUCUAUCAGCAGGAAAGAAAAUGACGGUACCUGACUAAGAAGCCCCAGCUAACUACGUGCCAGCAGACGCGGUAAUACGUAGGGGGCGAGCGUUAUCCGGAUUUACGGGGUGUAAAGGGAGCGUAGACGGCAGGACAAGUCUGGAGUGAAAUGCCGGGGCCCAACCCCGGAACUGCUCUGGAAACUGUUAAGCUGGAGUGUAGGAGAGGUAAGCGGAAUUCCUGGUGUAGCGGUGAAAUGCGUAGAUAUUAGGAGGAACACCAGCGGCGAAGGCGGCUUACUGGACGGUAACUGACGGUGAGGCUCGAAGGCGUGGGGAGCAAACAGGAUUAGAUACCCGAGUAGUC